Molecule: long non-coding RNA, 2465 nt
Filed under: Salmo salar (Atlantic salmon)
Lineage: Eukaryota; Metazoa; Chordata; Actinopteri; Salmoniformes; Salmonidae
Description: lncRNA (ENSSSAG00000105345.1)
Source: RNAcentral
GUUAGUUCAGUGUUAGUUCAGUGUUAGUUCAGUGUGUUAGUUCAGUGUUAGUUCAGUGUUAGUUCAGUGUUAGUUCAGUGUGUUAGUUCAGUGUUAGUUCAGUGUUAGUUCAGUGUUAGUUCAGUGUUAGUUCAGUGUUAGUUCAGUGUUAGUUCAGUGUGUUAGUUCAGUGUUAGUUCAGUGUUAGUUCAGUGUUAGUUCAGUGUUAGUUCAGUGUUAGUUCAGUGUUUCUUCAGUGUUUCUUCAGUGUUUCUUCAGUGUUAGUUCAGUGUUAGUUCAGUGUUAGUUCAGUGUUAGUUCAGUGUUUUAGUUCAGUGUUAGUUCAGUGUUAGUUCAGUGUUAGUUCAGUGUUAGUUCAGUGUUAGUUCAGUGUGUUAGUUCAGUGUUAGUUCAGUGUUAGUUCAGUGUUUUAGUUCAGUGUUAGUUCAGUGUUAGUUCAGUGUUAGUUCAGUGUUUCUUCAGUGUUUUAGUUCAGUGUUUGUUCAGUGUUAGUUCAGUGUUAGUUCAGUGUUAGUUCAGUGUUUCUUCAGUGUUAGUUCAGUGUUAGUUCAGUGUUAGUUCAGUGUUUUAGUUCAGUGUUUUAGUUCAGUGUUAGUUCAGUGUUAGUUCAGUGUUAGUUCAGUGUUAGUUCAGUGUUAGUUCAGUGUUAGUUCAGUGUUUUAGUUCAGUGUUUCUUCAGUGUUUUAGUUCAGUGUUAGUUCAGUGUUAGUUCAGUGUGUUAGUUCAGUGUUAGUUCAGUGUUAGUUCAGUGUGUUAGUUCAGUGUUUUAGUUCAGUGUUAGUUCAGUGUUAGUUCAGUGUUAGUUCAGUGUUAGUUCAGUGUUAGUUCAGUGUUUCUUCAGUGUUUCUUCAGUGUUUCUUCAGUGUUAGUUCAGUGUUGGUUCAGUGUUAGUUCAGUGUUAGUUCAGUGUUAGUUCAGUGUUUCGUUCAGUGUUAGUUCAGUGUUAGUUCAGUGUGUUAGUUCAGUGUUAGUUCAGUGUGUUAGUUCAGUGUUAGUUCAGUGUUAGUUCAGUGUUUUAGUUCAGUGUUAGUUCAGUGUUAGUUCAGUGUUAGUUCAGUGUUAGUUCAGUGUUAGUUCAGUGUGUUAGUUCAGUGUUAGUUCAGUGUUAGUUCAGUGUUAGUUCAGUGUUAGUUCAGUGUGUUAGUUCAGUGUUAGUUCAGUGUUGGUUCAGUGUUUUAGUUCAGUGUUAGUUCAGUGUUGGUUCAGUGUUGGUUCAGUGUUAGUUCAGUGUUAGUUCAGUGUUGGUUCAGUGUUGGUUCAGUGUUAGUUCAGUGUUAGUUCAGUGUUAGUUCAGUGUUAGUUCAGUGUUAGUUCAGUGUUAGUUCAGUGUUAGUUCAGUGUGUUAGUUCAGUGUUAGUUCAGUGUGUUAGUUCAGUGUUAGUUCAGUGUUAGUUCAGUGUUUUAGUUCAGUGUUAGUUCAGUGUUAGUUCAGUGUUAGUUCAGUGUUAGUUCAGUGUGUUAGUUCAGUGUUAGUUCAGUGUUAGUUCAGUGUUAGUUCAGUGUUAGUUCAGUGUGUUAGUUCAGUGUUAGUUCAGUGUUAGUUCAGUGUUAGUUCAGUGUUAGUUCAGUGUUAGUUCAGUGUUAGUUCAGUGUUUUAGUUCAGUGUUUCUUCAGUGUUUUAGUUCAGUGUUAGUUCAGUGUUAGUUCAGUGUGUUAGUUCAGUGUUAGUUCAGUGUUAGUUCAGUGUUAGUUCAGUGUUUUAGUUCAGUGUUUCUUCAGUGUUUUAGUUCAGUGUUAGUUCAGUGUUAGUUUAGUGUUUUAGUUCAGUGUUAGUUCAGUGUGUUAGUUCAGUGUUAGUUCAGUGUGUUAGUUCAGUGUUAGUUCAGUGUUAGUUCAGUGUGUUAGUUCAGUGUUAGUUCAGUGUUAGUUCAGUGUUAGUUCAGUGUUAGUUCAGUGUUAGUUUAGUGUUUCUUCAGUGUUUCUUCAGUGUUUCUUCAGUGUUAGUUCAGUGUUGGUUCAGUGUUAGUUCAGUGUUAGUUCAGUGUUAGUUCAGUGUUUCUUCAGUGUUAGUUCAGUGUUAGUUCAGUGUUAGUUCAGUGUUAGUUCAGUGUUUUAGUUCAGUGUUAGUUCAGUGUUAGUUCAGUGUGUUAGUUCAGUGUUUCUUCAGUGUUAGUUCAGUGUUUCUUCAGUAUUUUCCCAUCAGGCCGUUUUGACAGUUGAUCACUAUAAUAUACGUGUGUGCCUCGUGGUUUUCUGACUCCUGUGUGUUUGGCAUCAUGACUGUUGUUGACUACGGCCUGUGUCCCAAACGGUUCCCCUAUCCACUAUGCCCUCGCUACCUUUUUUUAGCAGUGUCCGUCUGGCUCUGGCCUAAAGGAGCACCCUACGGAGUGUGUAGGGCGCAGGCUGCCAGUCGGGACUCAGGCUGAUCCAGAGGCAGAUUUUUAUGCCUCGGCCUCGUCCCGUCUUUCGGCGACGUCGCUUGAUGUUUUUCUUGUGGGUCCCGAAGGAGGACAUUUUGAAAU